AAUUUUUGUCGGUAGAUGGUGCGCUAAGCCUUGUGAUAGAGGGCGCCAAGUAAAGCGAGGGCGCUAAACAAGCGGUGAGGAAGCUGAAACGUCAUGUGGUGACCCCGGACCCGAGCGACCUGACCCGACUGAUGCUGCGGCUCAUCAGCAGCCCCGCCGGCCUUGCAGCUGUCCGAAAUUUGAUCUGACCGGCGACUUGUUGAUUGGUUCCGUUGAACGAUGAGUGAUCGACGACAGCAUUGGUGUUGUCGUCACCUCUGGAGCAGCCAGCCGUGUAAAACAGCGCGUGCAGCCGAGCUGGUAGCAUUCAGCCAUGCACCGUGACUAAUUCUACAGCACCUCUCCAAACCGGUCUAUCCAGGUGUCAAUUUGAAAACGUACAAGCUUCAUCGUAAAUUCACACCUGAAGUUUUGACAGCGAUAAGAAUCUCGGCAGCAGCGAAUUCCAGGAGCGGAGCAGCCGGACGUCUGUCAGACCCUGGCGGCCGUCAGCUGAUCGUUCCAGUGACGUCACGUCCACCUCUGUCCUGUUUCCGCGCUCCCCGCCCGUUGCCGGCGGCUUUUUGCCGAGCAGACAGCUCCCACGGCCGCGGCGACUCGGCUUUUAUCCAAU
This is a long non-coding RNA of Amphibalanus amphitrite, 613 nucleotides long. RefSeq lists it as uncharacterized. NCBI's taxonomy places the organism in Eukaryota, Metazoa, Arthropoda, Thecostraca, Balanomorpha, Balanidae. The transcript has 4 exons. The record is from RefSeq and is a predicted model, not a curated record.